GCUGCCGCCCCUGGCCUGCCAGGACCCAGAGGGAGCGGAGCACGCGCCUUUGGGAAUCUUCGGUGCGCCAAGUCUGUUCGCCGCCGGGGUCUAUCACCCCCGCCCCUCGCCUCUGCCCGUGAGCGUCAGCUGGCUUGGCUUUUUCAGAGGAAACAGAGACUCUCAGACAUGAAUACUGUGACACUGACCACCAGGCCAACUUAACAUCAGCAGAUAUCCUGUCUCAGAUGAAGAGAAUGGCCUGUCCAGAAGACAGCCAAAUACAUCCUUCAAACAGACUUCACUGCAGGAGACAGAGUGGAUUCAUCCUGUAUUCUCCAUGUAGACUUCCAUCUUCAUGAGUACUCCAAGAAGAUGGUUCAGUUGACUAUUGCAAAGUCUCAGGUAUGUCUUUAUCAGCAGCAUGAAAAUGGACUAAUAGUACCAGUAGAGUGGGGCAUUGCUGAAAAGAUACCCGAAAAUGUGGAAGCAACUUUGGAACUGGGUGUUGAAAUAAUCUGGAGGGCUCAGAAGAAGAUAGGAAAAUGUAGGAAAGUUUGGAACCUCCUAGAGACUGUGAAUGGCAUUGACAAAAAUACUGAUAGUGAUAUGAACAAUAAGGUCCAGGCUGAGGUGGUCUCAGAUGGAGAUGAAGACCUUGUUGGGAACUGAAGUAAAGGUGACCCUUGUUAUGUUUUAGCAAGGAGACUGGCAGCAUUUCACCCUUGCCCUAGAGAUUUGUGGAACUUAGAGCUUGAGAGAGAUGACUUAGGGUAUCUGGUGGAAUAAAUUUCUAAGCAGCAAAGCAUUCAAAAGGUGACUUGGGUGCUGUUAAAAACAUUCUGUUUUAAAAGGGAAACAAGAGCAUAAAUGUGGAAAAUCUGCAGCCUGAUGAUGCAGUAGAAAAGAAAAACCCAUUUUUUUUAAGGAGAAAUUCAAGCUGGCUGCAG
This 929-nucleotide long non-coding RNA is filed under the name Homo sapiens (human). RNAcentral's name for it is "non-protein coding ENTPD1-AS1:40". Lineage: Eukaryota; Metazoa; Chordata; Mammalia; Primates; Hominidae. The record is from RNAcentral.